CCUACGGGAGGCAGCAGUGGGGAAUAUUGCACAAUGGGGGGAACCCUGAUGCAGCGACGCCGCGUGAGUGAAGAAGUAUUUCGGUAUGUAAAGCUCUAUCAGCAGGGAAGAAGAUGACGGUACCUGACUAAGAAGACCCGGCUAACUACGUGCCAGCAGCCGCGGUAAUACGUAGGGGGCAAGCGUUAGCCGGAUUUACUGGGUGUAAAGGGAGCGUAGACGGCAGGGCAAGUCUGGAGUGACAGCCCGGGGCCCAACCCCGGGACUGCUUUGGAAACGGCCAUGCUGGAGUGCUGGAGAGGUAAGCGGCAUUCCUUGUGUCGCGGUGCACUGCGUAGAUCUUCGGCGGACCCCCAGUGGC
This 361-nucleotide ribosomal RNA is filed under the name uncultured bacterium. Its description in RNAcentral is "partial 16S ribosomal RNA". It matches the Rfam family "Bacterial small subunit ribosomal RNA", at positions 338 to 716 of the family's 1533-position model. The record is from RNAcentral.